GGACUCUUUCAAAGGACCACGCGAGAGCAUUGAUUUUGUCGAAGGUGGAGCUAAUGGUUGGAGAUGUGCUGUAGUCCAGGUCGAUAAGAGCUGCUUCUUCAUUCGUCAGUUGAAUAUCGUGCGCAAGUUGUUCUUUUGGCGGCGUGUUAGGAUUAAGGGCUUGGAGUGUUUUGUGGCUGAUUUUGCUUGGGUUUACUUUUCGCAGUUUUUGGUCUAUUGAUUUCAGUUCUGUAUACUCUACAUGGCAGGUAAUCUGUAUGUCCAAGUCUUUUAUUAAGUUUUUAAUGUGCGUCCUUUGGCUGGCUGUCAGUGUGGAUGUGCGGCGGAAAAGAACGCGUCUGAGUUUUCGCUUUCUUUUGAUUAGGUUUAGGCAGUAUUGGCUAAGUCGGACAAACGGAUUGUUGGGGUUAUUCGGGCUUAGGGUGAUUUUUGGAAUUGCUUCACUGGAAUUUAAAGCUCUGUCUAUUGCAUAUGUUAAUGUUUGGACGUGACCAUCUAUGUCAGCUGAGUUUAUGUUUUGGGUGUUUGGAAUUUGUCUCAGGUUCUGAAGGAUGAUUGUGUUCCAGUGGAUGGGGUUUAUUUUUUGGAAGUUAUGUAAGGACUUUGGUUGGUUGUAUGUUAGUCGGUUGUGUCCUAGAUUUAUGUUGAUUGUUAUGCCAAAGUGGUCUGAAGGGAAGUCUUUGAUGGUUUUGCAGCCGAAUGUAUAUGUGUGGUUGUCUAUUGGUAUUGAGGAUGAUGCUAUGAAGUAGUCUAUUGAGGAGUCUCCCGUCGGAUUUGGGCGUGUGGGUUCUUCGGUUGGGAGUAGGUUUACGAAGGGUUGGUUUGCUAGCCAUUCCUCCAGCUUAUUUCCUGACGAGUUGAUGUGAUUUGGAUGGUGAGAGGGUCUGUUCCAGUUUGGGUGUUUCGCAUUUAAGUCACAUCCGAUUAUGAGCUCGUGGUCCUCUAGUUUGGUCAGCGAGUGCAUAAGGAUGUCCAUGUCUGAGCCAAGUAAAGGAUGGGUAGGGCGCAGGUAAAGUGCAACGGCAACAAGCCCGAAUCUUGCGUUGUGUCUGUUGGUGUGAAAUAUCUGCACUGCCACAGCCUCGAUGUAUUGCAUUUGGUCAAUGUUCACUUGUUCGUAUUUUAGACCGUUUCUCACGCAGAUAGCUACUGAGGAUUUAGGGGUUCUUGAGUUGUUCAUCGAUGUUGAAACCAAGCUUGGCACCUGUUGUCUCACGAAUUGGUAGUUUCUGAGGCCGGGUGAAUGCGUACUUCUCAGAUUGUGCUCUGCUAGCAGCAUCAGAUCUGGUCUGUGUUUGUUUAGCAUCUCGUUAAGUUCGUUCCUCUUUCUGAGUUGAACGAUGCCAUUGACGUUUUGGAACAUUAUUUUUACUGGCAUUUUAGUUGAGUGCGAUUUGGAUCAGGAAGUCGAGGAUUAGCUGUUGCUUCCCUUUUUUGUCCGAGCUGGUGUUUGGGUACUUCUUGACCAAGGACUGCAUGAUGUCGAAGCAGGUAAGCAGAUCCUUUCCAAAUGCGUCCACUGAGUCUCCGUUCAGUUGUUCGAAAGAGAAACUGGCGUUGUUUUCAACCUUUUGUUGUUUCUCAUGGUUAAAUCUCGGAGUUACUUUCUGUUGUGCAGGUGUUGGUGUUGGUCCGGUUUUGGCUGCUGAGGCGUAGCUUCGUCCCUUUUCUACUCUGUUUCGAGUAGGUGCAGGUGUUGCGAUUGUCUUGGCUGCUCUCUUUUGCGUGAGAUUUUGCCUUUCUGUGACUUUCUUUAGGUAUUCCAUACGUACGGGGCAAAUCUUUGCAUUGGCCGUAUGGUUACCUGCGCAGUUGACGCAUUGGGUUUUUUGAGCCGGGUCCACCUGGCUGUCGUUGGCUUCCCUUCUCUUGAGGUUGCAUUGUCCUGGGGCAUGUGUUUUUGUGCACUUGACACAGCGGUAUGCCAUUUUGCAGUUGCUUGCAACAUGGCAGAACCGUUGGCAAUUGUGGCAUUGCUUGAUUGCGUUUGGGUGCGGCUUGAAGCCCUCUACAUUGAUUCGGCAGUUUAAGAGUGUGGUCACUUUGAAGAUGGCGUUUAAUUUGUCGGAUUUUUCUAUCUGAAUCAUCCACAGUUUGUCCUUGUAGGCCUUGACUGACAUUAUAUUUAGUUCAGGUACGGCCUCGACUAGGGCUUCUUUUACCUCCUCUGCAGUGUAUAUUUCGAGAGGCAGUUUUCUUAAAAUGACCGUAUGCGGCUUUAUUUGUUUAGGUGUGUAACUGUAGUAUAGCACCUUGUUCUUGUUAAAUUUCUCCUUGGUUAGGUUGAAUUCUGUCAGGGAGAAGAGCUUAACAUGGAUGACAUUUUUGUUCACUAUAUUUAGUGUGAACUUUUUUGAUGUGUCCUUCAUUAGUUUUGUCAGUGCCUUUGGGUUUUGCUCGUAUGUUACAAUGACCGGUAUACCUUUUUCAUUUAAAGGUUCUGCUACCUGCUGUUUACUGGGCGUUGGUUUUUUGAUACUCGCUUGUCCUGGG
Molecule: long non-coding RNA, 2493 nt
Filed under: Drosophila guanche
Lineage: Eukaryota; Metazoa; Arthropoda; Insecta; Diptera; Drosophilidae
Source: RNAcentral